GACUGGAGACAGCAGUGGUGAAGAAGGCGGGGCCCCGAGGAGGCAGCGGCAUGGCCGCUCGCCUGUGCUAUGGUUUCUCCUCACGCGGCAGCAGCUGCUGGGGGCCGGGCGGGCCUGCCGGGCACCCUGGCGCCACUGGGAAACCAGCGGGCCCACGCCCCAGGCACCCUAGCGCUUGGUUAGGGUGGGGGGUUGUUUUUUGGUUUUGUUUUUUUGGGGGUGGGUUUUUUUUUUUUUUUUUUUUUUUUUCUUGCUGUGUGAAAGAAGAAACAGAAAGCACGACCCGACCCCUUCUCAAACUGGCUCACUCAGACACUUUGGGACAAACCCUGGACACCACGCUGGAGAGAGGCCUUAGUCUGGCCCCAGAGCUUAAAGCACCAGAGAAAAUCACAUGCUUCCUACUCAGCCUGAGCUGACCUUCUCGGCGUGCUCUGGCCCACACCUACCGCGGUACCCACACCGUCACCACUGCUCUCUUCCAAAAGAGAUACGUAUUCUUAGUUUCAUUAUUUUCUUUUGAUUGAAAUGACACUAUAUAAAAUUUUCAUUUGAGAGUUUCUCAGUUGUAUUUAGUUACAUAGCACAGUUUAGAAACUUGUCUGAGGCUGACCUUAUCAGUAAUCUAACCGGCAAAGAUCAUAUCCAUGUGUAUGUGGUUAUACAUUUUUAUUUCAUUGGACUAACCCAGGACCAUUCAGUGAUGCAAACUGUGUGCCCUCUGGUUUAGCUGAAACAGUCCUGCACUUCUCAGAAACCUUGAUGAAGUCUCCCAUAGUUGUAUAAAUUGGACAAUUUAGGAAUUUUAAACUUUAAACGAUCAUUUGGUUCCUUUUCUAUUUUAUUUUUGUUAAUGCAACAGUACUUAAACAAAUGAACUUCGAUCUUUGUUUUAAAGAUUAUUAAAAAAAACUAUGUGUGUGUGUCUAUAUAUAUAUAUAUAUAUAUAUCUAUAUCUAUAUAUAUAUAUAUGACUCUUGAAGACACAUAGCUUUCACUACACUACAGGAUAUGAUCUCCAUGUAGCACAUCUACAACUGCAGAUUGAUUUUCCUUGAGUGCUUUAUACUGUUGAUUACAUCUCCAUGUAGGGCUGAAAAGAAUGACCCAUGUUUAUCUCUAUAACUGUGUUGCUUUUGAUGUCGUGUUGCUGUGCACAGAAAUGUGUGCAGCGAGGUCCUGCAUAUGGUCCAGAUGAAAAGCACGGUAGCCUUGCGAGUUAAGUACUGCUUCGAUUCAUUGUUUACGCUGGAAUUUUUUCUCCCCAUGGAAUUAACUGAAGCAGUAAGGGAAGAUGUGAGGGCACGGAAGCAUGGCGUGGGGGGCACUGCUGCCAGUGAGGGGCGAGUGGGUGCCCGGGUGAAGGGAGGCACCACUCAUCUGAACCUGACAUUGUCACCCAAAGAAAUGACUGAGAGGAGGAGAGAGGCUUCCUGGUCACUUCCCUCAGGCGGGCUCGUGCUCGGAGGAGUAAAGUGCACAUGCAGUGGUGCCAUCCAUUGUAAAGCUGAACAACCUGGAGCUCGGUGGGCCCAGAGAGGAUCAGGUAACAUUUUCCCAAGGCCCCGAACGAGGAGCAGCCUGGUAGACGGUGGAUUGGGUGUGGAUAAGGCUUCCGUGCUGUGAAGAGCGCCUGUAAAUAGAUCACCUCACGAAGGGCCAAGAUGCUGUAACGUAGACUCAGGAGGAUUGACCCUUAACUGCUUGCCAAGGAGAUGGACCAUCUUUCCGACGCAAGGGACUCCCCUGGUGGUCCAGUGGUAAAGAAUCCGCCUUCCAAUGCUGGGGACUCAGGUUCGAUCCCUGGUGGGGGAACUAAGAUCUGACCUGCCCCGGGGCAACUAAGCCCGCGCGCCUCAACUAGAGAGCCAGCCUGCCGCAAACUGCAGAGCCUGCACACCACAACUAGAGAAGAGAAAACCUGCACGGCACAACGAAGAUCCUGCGUGCCACAACUAAGACCUGACGCAGCCAAAAGACAAAGAAAUUUUUUUAAAAAGAAUACAUUAUUCAGCUAAUCUAAACUUUGUUUAGGCAGGAAAGAAGAAAAUUAAUCAAAAUGCUUAAAGAAGGAUCUUAAUUCCCUGACCAGGGACUGAACCCAGGCCCCAGCAGUGAAAGCGCUGAAUCCUAACCACUGGACCACCAGGGAAUUCCCCUGAAUAUCUUCCCAAAGAAGACACAGAGAUGGCUACAGGCACACGAAAAGGUGCUCAACAUCACUAAUCAUCAGGGAAAUGCAAAUAAAAACCAAAAUGUGGUAUCACUUCACACCUGUUACAAUGGCUAGUCUCAGAAAGACAAGAAAACUCCAGUGCUCUGCUGGUGGGAACAUAUAUUGAUGCAGCCAGUAUGGAAAGAAGUAUGGAGGUCCCUCAAAAAAUUAAAAAUAGAGUUACCAUAUGGUCCAGCAAUUCCAACUUCUGGUUAUUUAUCCAAAGGAAACAAAAACACUAACUCAAAAAGAUAUCCACACCCCCAAGUUCAUAGGCAGCAUUAACAAUGGCCAAGAUUUGGAAACAAGUGUCCAUCAGUGGAUGAAUGGAUAAAGAAAGUGUGGAGUGCACACACACACACACAGAUGGAAUGUUAUUCAGCCAUAAAAAAAAGAAAAUCUUGCCAUUUGCGACAAUAUGUAUGGACCUUGAGGGCAUUAUACUAAGUGAAAUGGAGAAAGACAAACACCGUACAUCUCACAUGUGGAACCUUAAAAAACAAAACAGGAAAAAAAAAAAAAAAAAA
Molecule: long non-coding RNA, 2742 nt
Organism: Physeter macrocephalus (sperm whale)
Lineage: Eukaryota; Metazoa; Chordata; Mammalia; Artiodactyla; Physeteridae
Exons: 7
Source: RefSeq, a predicted model, not a curated record